GCUCCGCCAUGGAGGCGCUGCGGGCAGCGGGGCGCGCCGUGCUGCGGAGCCCGCGCCUCGCCCGGCACGGCCUGGGGCUCCGCCGACGGCGCAAGCUUCCUGAGAGCUGGGCCGAUAUGCAGGAGCCACUGCUUGAGGGGAUGUGCUUCACCCUGAAGUAUCUAGGCAUGACUCUGGUAGAAAAACCAAAAGGAGAAGACAUGGCUGCCGCUGCCAUUCGCAGGAUUGUGGCCACGGCACGGGUGGGAGCUCGCAAGUUCCAGAAGGUGAUUCUGACAGUGUCUCCGAGGGGCAUCUCACUGCAGGAUGCAGACACAAAGGAAAUGGUGGAGAACGUCUCUAUCUACAGGAUCUCCUACUGCACAACAGACAAACUGCAGAACAAAGUCUUCGCUUAUGUUGCCCAGAGCCAGGAGAGUGGGGCGCUGGAGUGCCAUGCCUUCCUCUCACCCAAGAAGAAGAUUGCACAGGCUGUGACUCUGACCGUGGCCCAGGCCUUCCAGAUGGCUCUGGAUCUCUGGGAAGCAACACAUGCAGGCUCUAGGCAGGAUCAGCCCUUUCUCCCUUCAUGUGUCAUGGAGAACAGUGAGCCCGGCAGACCCCAUGAGCCAGCCCCCCGGGGGAGCCCUCCCUUCAGACACCAGUUUGGGGAGGAGGAAGAGGAGGAGGAAGAUGAUAAUGUUGGUGAAACCUUAUCUGGGUAGGUGGUGAGCUGCUUCUUCCUUUCAGACAUCUAAUGCACCCUGUCUUGUUUCCUUUUCUCUCCUCCAUGCAAGGGGAGCUGCUGGGGCCAUGGACAUGGUGGGAUCAUGGAGGAGAGCUGAAUGGGACCAAGCAGAAGCUUCACACUCUUUCUCCGUCUCUGUCAGUUGAGAGCUCAAGUGAACAGGGGGCUGAGCUGUGGAGGAACAGACCUUGCAGUCCAGCUUUUGCAGUGGAGCUAUGGGGGUCAGAUGGUGACCCCCAGGGUGCACCCAGAGAUGUUUCUUGUUCUGUUUCUGCCACUCUUUGUUGAUGCCAGCCUGUCCAGACAUGCCUCUCAGAUGGGACUCAGAAUUGCCCCCUUCCUCUCACUGAUUUCCCUGGGGCUUGGACCAGGAUGGAGGCUUGGUCAUGCUGACUUCUGCGUGGACUGGGGCUGUGGGCUGAGCUUGAUGGUGUCUGUCCUGUGCUGGGGAGGAGCUGAUGGAACCAGUCCAGCAGUGGACUGUUAAUCUGCAGGUCUUUGCAGAAGUGCAGUGUGAGAGGCCUGUUUCAUCGUGGCUGUUCUCCAUGUGCAUGGCAGUGCCAGCCAGCUGGGAUCUGGCAGUGCCACAUGGCUGAGCCUGGGCUGAGCUAGUGCCAGCCAGGAACCAGCACAUGCACAGAUGGGAGCUGUGUGCACAAUCUGAGGAAAUGGCGGCCCUUUGGACAGGGGGCUCCUGAUGGGAAGGAGAUGUGGCUAUGCAGUCUCAGAUCAGGCAGGUCUGGGGAGGGAGUUUGGUAGCAAAUGGGCUUAAGGCCUUCUGCACUCCCAGUGCCCGAUGCUGCCUGCCUUGUUGGGGUCAGGAGCAUGCAGUGUCUCUCAGGAGGCCAUGCCUGGGAUAUGAUAGGUGCUGUGUUCUCUUCCAAAGCAGCAUGGAGGAGCUGGGGAGGGGAGCUCAUAGCCCAGCAGAAUUAACACCUCUUGUGCCCCGAGCACGCUCUCCUACAGCACAGCUACUGUGCUAUCAGCUGGGGCACUCCUCAGACAGCUGGACAGGGCUGGGAGGGGUUGGAGACCUCCCC
Molecule: RNA transcript, 1767 nt
Organism: Empidonax traillii (willow flycatcher)
Lineage: Eukaryota; Metazoa; Chordata; Aves; Passeriformes; Tyrannidae
Gene name: low density lipoprotein receptor adapter protein 1-like
Exons: 8
Source: RefSeq, a predicted model, not a curated record